GGUAGAAGGAGCUUGUUCCUUUGAGACCGGCGCACGGGUGCGUAACGCGUAUGCAAUCUACCUUGUACAGGGGGAUAGCCCAGAGAAAUUUGGAUUAAUACCCCAUAGUAUUUUCAGAUGGCCUCAUUUGAUUAUUAAAGUUCCAACGGUACAAGAUGAGCAUGCGUCCCAUUAGCUAGUUGGUGUGGUAACGGCAUACCAAGGCAACGAUGGGUAGGGGUCCUGAGAGGGAGAUCCCCCACACUGGUACUGAGACACGGACCAGACUCCUACGGGAGGCAGCAGUGAGGAAUAUUGGUCAAUGGGCGCAAGCCUGAACCAGCCAUGCCGCGUGCAGGAUGACGGUCCUAUGGAUUGUAAACUGCUUUUGUACAGGAAGAAACCCUCCCUUGUAAGGGAGCUUGACGGUACUGUAAGAAUAAGGAUCGGCUAACUCCGUGCCAGCAGCCGCGGUAAUACGGAGGAUCCAAGCGUUAUCCGGAAUCAUUGGGUUUAAAGGGUCCGUAGGCGGUUUUAUAAGUCA
Molecule: ribosomal RNA, 523 nt
Filed under: uncultured bacterium
Lineage: Bacteria
Description: bacterial SSU rRNA
Rfam family: Bacterial small subunit ribosomal RNA
Source: RNAcentral